RNAcentral lists this long non-coding RNA (296 nucleotides) under Gossypium raimondii (Peruvian cotton). RNAcentral's name for it is "long non-coding RNA (GRAI_LNC010432)". Lineage: Eukaryota; Viridiplantae; Streptophyta; Magnoliopsida; Malvales; Malvaceae. The record is from RNAcentral.
UCGAAACCCUUACUCACGCACAAAUUAACACAACACUAAAGAAUAGAUCAACAAAAACCAAUAAUGUCCAGAAUGAUAGCAACAAGAAGGUAGUUCACAAUGGAAAACCAAGUGAUAGAGAAAUAUUCCAAUAAGAAGAAAAGAAAAUAAAUAAACGUUUAUGAAGAAUUUUAAGGAAUAGGAAUAAAGAAUGACAUAAGAGGAAAAAUAAAGAAAAGAAAAGAAAACAAGAAACGUGGGAAAAGAUUUUUAAGGUGACUAAUUAAUUUUUUUAAGAAAAACCACCCGCUACCCCC